UCUCCGAUUGAAGCCGCGACCCUUGAUUCGUGCUCGCCAUGAUUUCUUGCCGGCAGGAUCAUCGGAGGCUGAGGUAAGCCUUCCUCUUCUUCCUCUUUUCUCUCUCCUUCUUCCCGUGCCUCUGUGCAUGACUGCCGGCGACGGGUGUCGUCGGAUUUCGUCGAAGAAGGGACCCCUGUUUGGUCUCUUCUUCUCUUUGAUUUUUCGGUGCCGGCGAUCCCUGCCA
This 226-nucleotide long non-coding RNA is filed under the name Elaeis guineensis (African oil palm). RNAcentral's name for it is "long non-coding RNA (EGUI_LNC012102)". Lineage: Eukaryota; Viridiplantae; Streptophyta; Magnoliopsida; Arecales; Arecaceae. The record is from RNAcentral.